RNAcentral lists this ribosomal RNA (528 nucleotides) under uncultured bacterium. RNAcentral describes it as "bacterial SSU rRNA". It matches the Rfam family "Bacterial small subunit ribosomal RNA", at positions 777 to 1310 of the family's 1533-position model. The record is from RNAcentral.
AAUAGAUACCCAGGUAGUCCACGCCCUAAACGAUGUCUACUAGUUGUCGGGUCUUAAUUGACUUGGUAACGCAGCUAACGCGUGAAGUAGACCGCCUGGGGAGUACGGUCGCAAGAUUAAAACUCAAAGGAAUUGACGGGGACCCGCACAAGCGGUGGAUGAUGUGGAUUAAUUCGAUGCAACGCGAAAAACCUUACCUACCCUUGACAUGUCAGGAACCCUCGAGAGAUUGAGGGGUGCCCGAAAGGGAGCCUGAACACAGGUGCUGCAUGGCUGUCGUCAGCUCGUGUCGUGAGAUGUUGGGUUAAGUCCCGCAACGAGCGCAACCCUUGUCAUUAGUUGCUACGAAAGGGCACUCUAAUGAGACUGCCGGUGACAAACCGGAGGAAGGUGGGGAUGACGUCAAGUCCUCAUGGCCCUUAUGGGUAGGGCUUCACACGUCAUACAAUGGUACAUACAGAGGGCCGCCAACCCGCGAGGGGGAGCUAAUCCCAGAAAGUGUAUCGUAGUCCGGAUCGCAGUCUGCAA